Aphis gossypii (cotton aphid) is the source of this 1101-nucleotide long non-coding RNA. RefSeq lists it as uncharacterized. The transcript has 2 exons. The record is from RefSeq and is a predicted model, not a curated record. Lineage: Eukaryota; Metazoa; Arthropoda; Insecta; Hemiptera; Aphididae.
UUAUUAAAAAUAUGUUAAUACUAAUGAAAAAUUUCAAAAUUAUUGGUAACUUACCACAAAUUACAGUUCAUAGUUCCAAUUUUGUGUUAUUGGUUAAAAUAUAUUAAAUACUAAAUUGACCUAUUACCAAAUUUAAAGAUGAGAAUAUUUGUGUUUUCUCAUUAGUAUUUUUUAAAUUUUGAGCAAGUUAUGAGUUUAAAAUUUAAAAUUUUUUUCAAAUUGCUUAAAGAUUUAUGUAUUGUAAAAAUCCGAUGAGAGUACACAUAUAAUGUUAUUAUUGUUAAGGUUAAUAAUAAGUGAAUUCAUUCUAAUAAUAAAUCUAACAGCACAAAAUUGAAAUUGUAAAACAUACAUUUUUACGUUAUUCACGUGCAAAAUAGAAACAACAUUUGCAGUUGUGACAUUUUUUUUUUAACAAAAACAUAUAUUUAUAGGAAUAUGCUACUUACAUUGCUGUCAUUUAGUACGCUGUGGUAGAAUAUUAACUUUAUAAUAUUAGUAUAAUAAGUUAGCCUAACUUACAGUUAAUUAAUAAUAAUGAUAUGCAUAGACCUUAUACUACUAGACAGGAACUGUGUAUAACAACGGCAUUACGAACAACGUAACAACAUCCUGCAGUGAUGUAAGCCGUUUUGGACGACAGGCGUGCAUAUGUAUAUGGAAUUAAUAAGUUGUUUUAAAUAUUUUUUAUUAUUCACCCGGUUUUACGUAAUAUUUCUCCUGAUAUGGUUAGACCUUAUCCCAAAGCACAACUACUACUACCAAAAUUUUCAACAGAAAUGCUAAAAAGAAAUUAUUCAAUAUUGAAACUAUAAAUAAAAAACAAAAAACUAAAGAAUUAAAAGAACAAAAAAUUAAGAAGACUUCAGUUGAUAAAAAUAAUAAUGAAGAGGAUAAGGAUGUUUCAUGAAUAGUUUGUGCUGUAUUGUAUUCAAAAUUUCAGAAAGUAAGAGCGGAGAACCGUGGAUUCAAUGCCAAAGAUGUACAUUAUGGUCACAUGAAGCUUGUACCUCACAAAAUUGUAAAGCUUUCUAUGUAUCUGACGACUGUGAGACUGAUGAUUAAAUUAAAUUUAUGUUUUUUCUCUUAAUUAUAAUUAAU